AGGGGCAGCGGGGGCGGAAGCUUGCUUACGCCCGCCGGCGACCGGCGCACGGGUGAGUAACACGUAUGCAACCUGGCCGCCACAGGGGGAUAACCCGCGGAAACGCGGCCUAAUACCCCGUGACGCCACCGGAGAGCAUCCUCCGGUGGCCAAAGGAGCGAUCCGGUGGCGGAUGGGCAUGCGGCGCAUUAGCUAGACGGCGGGGUGACGGCCCACCGUGGCGACGAUGCGUAGGGGUUCUGAGAGGAAGGCCCCCCACACUGGGACUGAGACACGGCCCAGACUCCUACGGGAGGCAGCAGUGAGGAAUAUUGGUCAAUGGGCGGAAGCCUGAACCAGCCAAGUCGCGUGAGGGAUUAAGGCCCUGCGGGUCGUAAACCUCUCUUGCCGGGGAGCAGUGGUCCGGACGCGUCCGGGCCGGGAGAGUACCCGGAGAAAAAGCAUCGGCUAACUCCGUGCCAGCAGCCGCGGUAAUACGGAGGAUGCGAGCGUUAUCCGGAUUUAUUGGGUUUAAAGGGUGCGUAGGCGGGCACUUAAGCCGGCGGUCAAAUGUCGGGGCUCAACCCCGGCCUGCCGUCGGAACUGGGUGCCUUGAGUGGGCGAGAAGUAUGCGGAAUGCGUGGUGUAGCGGUGAAAUGCAUAGAUAUCACGCAGAACCCCGAUUGCGAAGGCAGCAUACCGGCGCCCUACUGACGCUGAGGCACGAAAGUGCGGGUAUCGAACAGGAUUAGAUACCCUGGUAGUCCGCACAGUAAACGAUGGAUGCUAUCUGUC
This 774-nucleotide ribosomal RNA is filed under the name uncultured bacterium. RNAcentral's name for it is "bacterial SSU rRNA". It matches the Rfam family "Bacterial small subunit ribosomal RNA", at positions 65 to 824 of the family's 1533-position model. The record is from RNAcentral.